RNAcentral lists this ribosomal RNA (245 nucleotides) under uncultured bacterium. RNAcentral's name for it is "partial small subunit ribosomal RNA". It matches the Rfam family "Bacterial small subunit ribosomal RNA", at positions 26 to 285 of the family's 1533-position model. The record is from RNAcentral.
AGAAUCAACGCUGGCGGCGUGCCUAACACAUGCAAGUCGCACGAGAAAGGGGCUUCGGCUCUGAGUAAAGUGGCGCACGGGUGAGUAACACGUGAAUAAUCUACCUCCGAGUGGGGAAUAACUGAGAGAAAUCUUAGCUAAUACCGCAUAACACUUACGAGUCAAAGCAGCAAUGCACUUGGAGAGGAGUUCGCGGCCGAUUAGUUAGUUGGCGGGGUAAUGGCCCACCAAGACGAUGAUCGGUA